AUAUCUCUCCGUACGGGAAGGAUGAGAAGCUUCGACUAAGGUUCGAUUCGAGCGCAGCGAGAAAGCGUUGCCGCAGGCAACGACCCGAAGGGCGAAGCGCGCAGCGCUGAGUCAUCCUUCCCCCACCAC
Molecule: small RNA, 129 nt
Filed under: Salmonella enterica
Lineage: Bacteria; Pseudomonadati; Pseudomonadota; Gammaproteobacteria; Enterobacterales; Enterobacteriaceae
Also listed under: 1 other name
Description: partial RtT sRNA
Rfam family: RtT RNA
About the family: This family represents a bacterial cis-regulatory element known as RtT RNA. The exact function of RtT is unknown although it is thought that it may be involved in changing the cellular response in relation to amino acid starvation.
Source: RNAcentral